Molecule: small RNA, 320 nt
Filed under: Dipodomys ordii (Ord's kangaroo rat)
Lineage: Eukaryota; Metazoa; Chordata; Mammalia; Rodentia; Heteromyidae
Description: 7SK RNA (ENSDORG00000020521.2)
Rfam family: 7SK RNA (bases 1-197)
About the family: 7SK was discovered as an abundant small nuclear RNA in the mid-70s but a possible function has only recently been suggested.
Source: RNAcentral
GGAUAUGAGGGCAAUCUGGCUGCGACAUAUGUCACCCCAUUGAUCACCAGGGUUGAUUUGGCUGAUCUGGCUGGCUAGGCGGGUAUCCCCUCCCUCCCUCACCGCUCCAUGUAUGUCCCUCCCGAAGCUGCAUGCUCGGUAAAAGAGAACAACCAUCCCUGAUAGAGGACCGGUCUUUGGUCAAGAGUAUAUGAGAAAAGGGGCUGGGAAGGUGGCUCAGUGGUAGAGCGCUUGCCUUACAUGCUCAAGGCCCUGGGUUCGAUUCCUUAGUACCAUAUAAGCAAAAAGAAAAAAGCCGGAAGUGGCGCUAUGGCUCAAAU